Molecule: ribosomal RNA, 550 nt
Filed under: uncultured Glomeromycotina
Lineage: Eukaryota; Fungi; Glomeromycota
Description: bacterial SSU rRNA
Rfam family: Eukaryotic small subunit ribosomal RNA
Source: RNAcentral
UUGGAGGGCAAGUCUGGUGCCAGCAGCCGCGGUAAUUCCAGCUCCAAUAGCGUAUAUUAAAGUUGUUGCAGUUAAAAAGCUCGUAGUUGAACCUUAGGCCCGUGCGGGUGGUCCGUCCUCAGGGCGAGUACUGCCUCGUUGCGGGUCUCACCUUCUGGCGAGCGUGGAUGCCAUUUAUUUGGUGUCUGCGGGAACCAGGACCUUUACCUUGAAAAAAUUAGAGUGCUCAAAGCGGGCUCUUGCGCUUGAAUACAUUAGCAUGGAAUAAUGAAAUAGGACGAUGGUUCUAUUUUGUUGGUUUCUGGGACCGUCGUAAUGAUUAAUAGGGAUAGUUGGGGGCAUUCGUAUUCAAUUGUCAGAGGUGAAAUUCUUGGAUUUAUUGAAGACGGACUACUGCGAAAGCAUUUGCCAAGGAUGUUUUCAUUAAUCAAGAACGAAAGUUGGGGGAUCGAAGACGAUCAGAUACCGUCGUAGUCUCAACCAUAAACUAUGCCGACUGGGAAUCGGACGAUGUUAUUUUUUGUGACUCGUUCGGCGCCUUACGGGAAAC